CCUACGGGUGGCAGCAGUAGGGAAUAUUGCUCAAUGGGGGAAACCCUGAAGCAGCAACGCCGCGUGGAGGAUGAAGGUUUUCGGAUUGUAAACUCCUUUUGUUAGAGAAGAUGAUGACGGUAUCUAACGAAUAAACACCGGCUAACUCCGUGCCAGCAGCCGCGGUAAUACGGAGGGUGCAAGCGUUACUCGGAAUCACUGGGCGUAAAGAGCGCGUAGGCGGGAUAGCAAGUCAGAUGUGAAAUCCUAGGGCUUAACCCUCGAACUGCAUUUGAAACUGUUAUUCUAGAGUAUGGGAGAGGUAGGUGGAAUUCUUGGUGUAGGGGUAAAAUCCGUAGAGAUCAAGAGGAAUACUCAUUGCGAAGGCGACCUGCUAGACCAUAACUGACGCUGAUGCGCGAAAGCGUGGGGAGCAAACAGGAUUAGAUACCCCAGUAGUC
This 440-nucleotide ribosomal RNA is filed under the name uncultured bacterium. RNAcentral's name for it is "partial 16S ribosomal RNA". It matches the Rfam family "Bacterial small subunit ribosomal RNA", at positions 338 to 795 of the family's 1533-position model. The record is from RNAcentral.